RNAcentral lists this ribosomal RNA (1366 nucleotides) under uncultured beta proteobacterium. Its description in RNAcentral is "16S ribosomal RNA". It matches the Rfam family "Bacterial small subunit ribosomal RNA", at positions 30 to 1394 of the family's 1533-position model. The record is from RNAcentral. Lineage: Bacteria; Pseudomonadati; Pseudomonadota; Betaproteobacteria.
UGAACGCUGGCGGCAUGCCUUACACAUGCAAGUCGAACGGCAGCACGGGUGCUUGCACCUGGUGGCGAGUGGCGAACGGGUGAGUAAUACAUCGGAACAUGUCCUGUAGUGGGGGAUAGCCCGGCGAAAGCCGGAUUAAUACCGCAUACGAUCUACGGAUGAAAGCGGGGGACCUUCGGGCCUCGCGCUAUAGGGUUGGCCGAUGGCUGAUUAGCUAGUUGGUGGGGUAAAGGCCUACCAAGGCGACGAUCAGUAGCUGGUCUGAGAGGACGACCAGCCACACUGGGACUGAGACACGGCCCAGACUCCUACGGGAGGCAGCAGUGGGGAAUUUUGGACAAUGGGCGAAAGCCUGAUCCAGCAAUGCCGCGUGUGUGAAGAAGGCCUUCGGGUUGUAAAGCACUUUUGUCCGGAAAGAAAUCCUUGGCUCUAAUACAGUCGGGGGAUGACGGUACCGGAAGAAUAAGCACCGGCUAACUACGUGCCAGCAGCCGCGGUAAUACGUAGGGUGCGAGCGUUAAUCGGAAUUACUGGGCGUAAAGCGUGCGCAGGCGGUUUGCUAAGACCGAUGUGAAAUCCCCGGGCUCAACCUGGGAACUGCAUUGGUGACUGGCAGGCUAGAGUAUGGCAGAGGGGGGUAGAAUUCCACGUGUAGCAGUGAAAUGCGUAGAGAUGUGGAGGAAUACCGAUGGCGAAGGCAGCCCCCUGGGCCAAUACUGACGCUCAUGCACGAAAGCGUGGGGAGCAAACAGGAUUAGAUACCCUGGUAGUCCACGCCCUAAACGAUGUCAACUAGUUGUUGGGGAUUCAUUUCCUUAGUAACGUAGCUAACGCGUGAAGUUGACCGCCUGGGGAGUACGGUCGCAAGAUUAAAACUCAAAGGAAUUGACGGGGACCCGCACAAGCGGUGGAUGAUGUGGAUUAAUUCGAUGCAACGCGAAAAACCUUACCUACCCUUGACAUGGUCGGAAUCCCGCUGAGAGGUGGGAGUGCUCGAAAGAGAACCGGCGCACAGGUGCUGCAUGGCUGUCGUCAGCUCGUGUCGUGAGAUGUUGGGUUAAGUCCCGCAACGAGCGCAACCCUUGUCCUUAGUUGCUACGCAAGAGCACUCUAAGGAGACUGCCGGUGACAAACCGGAGGAAGGUGGGGAUGACGUCAAGUCCUCAUGGCCCUUAUGGGUAGGGCUUCACACGUCAUACAAUGGUCGGAACAGAGGGUUGCCAACCCGCGAGGGGGAGCUAAUCCCAGAAAACCGAUCGUAGUCCGGAUUGCACUCUGCAACUCGAGUGCAUGAAGCUGGAAUCGCUAGUAAUCGCGGAUCACGCAUGCCGCGGUGAAUACGUUCCCGGGUCUUGUACUCACCGCC